RNAcentral lists this ribosomal RNA (464 nucleotides) under uncultured bacterium. Its description in RNAcentral is "partial 16S ribosomal RNA". It matches the Rfam family "Bacterial small subunit ribosomal RNA", at positions 338 to 795 of the family's 1533-position model. The record is from RNAcentral.
CCUACGGGUGGCAGCAGUGGGGAAUAUUGCGCAAUGGCCGAAAGCCUGACGCAGCGACGUCGCGUGAGGGAUGACGGUCCUCGGAUCGUAAACCCUUGUUAGCAGGGAAGAACGGUCACUGUGCUAAUCAGCAGUGAAUUUACGUUACCUGCAAAGGUAGCAUCGGCUAAUUCCGUGCCAGCAGCCGCGGCAAUACGGAGGAUGCGAGCGUUAUUCGGUUUUAUUGGGUUUAAAGGGUGCGUAGGCGGAGUAUCAAGUCAGCGGUAAAAUCGUGGAGCUCAACUCCAUCCAGCCGUUGAAACUGAUGAUCUUGAGUGUGCGAAGAGUAUGCGGAAUGCGUGGUGUAGCGGUGAAAUGCAUAGAUAUCACGCAGAACUCCGAUUGCGAAGGCAGCAUACCGGCGCCCGACUGACGCUGAUGCACGAAAGCGUGGGUAUCGAACAGGAUUAGAUACCCGGGUAGUC